GGGUUGUGAGGUUAAGCGACUAAGCGUACACGGUGGAUGCCCUGGCAGUCAGAGGCGAUGAAGGACGUGCUAAUCUGCGAUAAGCGUCGGUAAGGUGAUAUGAACCGUUAUAACCGGCGAUUUCCGAAUGGGGAAACCCAGUGUGUUUCGACACACUAUCAUUAACUGAAUCCAUAGGUUAAUGAGGCGAACCGGGGGAACUGAAACAUCUAAGUACCCCGAGGAAAAGAAAUCAACCGAGAUUCCCCCAGUAGCGGCGAGCGAACGGGGAGGAGCCCAGAGCCUGAAUCAGUGUGUGUGUUAGUGGAAGCGUCUGGAAAGGCGCGCGAUACAGGGUGACAGCCCCGUACACAAAAAUGCACAUGCUGUGAGCUCGAUGAGUAGGGCGGGACACGUGGUAUCCUGUCUGAAUAUGGGGGGACCAUCCUCCAAGGCUAAAUACUCCUGACUGACCGAUAGUGAACCAGUACCGUGAGGGAAAGGCGAAAAGAACCCCGGCGAGGGGAGUGAAAAAGAACCUGAAACCGUGUACGUACAAGCAGUGGGAGCACGCUUAGGCGUGUGACUGCGUACCUUUUGUAUAAUGGGUCAGCGACUUAUAUUCUGUAGCAAGGUUAACCGAAUAGGGGAGCCGAAGGGAAACCGAGUCUUAACUGGGCGUUAAGUUGCAGGGUAUAGACCCGAAACCCGGUGAUCUAGCCAUGGGCAGGUUGAAGGUUGGGUAACACUAACUGGAGGACCGAACCGACUAAUGUUGAAAAAUUAGCGGAUGACUUGUGGCUGGGGGUGAAAGGCCAAUCAAACCGGGAGAUAGCUGGUUCUCCCCGAAAGCUAUUUAGGUAGCGCCUCGUGAAUUCAUCUCCGGGGGUAGAGCACUGUUUCGGCAAGGGGGUCAUCCCGACUUACCAACCCGAUGCAAACUGCGAAUACCGGAGAAUGUUAUCACGGGAGACACACGGCGGGUGCUAACGUCCGUCGUGAAGAGGGAAACAACCCAGACCGCCAGCUAAGGUCCCAAAGUCAUGGUUAAGUGGGAAACGAUGUGGGAAGGCCCAGACAGCCAGGAUGUUGGCUUAGAAGCAGCCAUCAUUUAAAGAAAGCGUAAUAGCUCACUGGUCGAGUCGGCCUGCGCGGAAGAUGUAACGGGGCUAAACCAUGCACCGAAGCUGCGGCAGCGACGCUUAUGCGUUGUUGGGUAGGGGAGCGUUCUGUAAGCCUGUGAAGGUGUGCUGUGAGGCAUGCUGGAGGUAUCAGAAGUGCGAAUGCUGACAUAAGUAACGAUAAAGCGGGUGAAAAGCCCGCUCGCCGGAAGACCAAGGGUUCCUGUCCAACGUUAAUCGGGGCAGGGUGAGUCGACCCCUAAGGCGAGGCCGAAAGGCGUAGUCGAUGGGAAACAGGUUAAUAUUCCUGUACUUGGUGUUACUGCGAAGGGGGGACGGAGAAGGCUAUGUUGGCCGGGCGACGGUUGUCCCGGUUUAAGCGUGUAGGCUGGUUUUCCAGGCAAAUCCGGAAAAUCAAGGCUGAGGCGUGAUGACGAGGCACUACGGUGCUGAAGCAACAAAUGCCCUGCUUCCAGGAAAAGCCUCUAAGCAUCAGGUAACAUCAAAUCGUACCCCAAACCGACACAGGUGGUCAGGUAGAGAAUACCAAGGCGCUUGAGAGAACUCGGGUGAAGGAACUAGGCAAAAUGGUGCCGUAACUUCGGGAGAAGGCACGCUGAUAUGUAGGUGAAGUCCCUCGCGGAUGGAGCUGAAAUCAGUCGAAGAUACCAGCUGGCUGCAACUGUUUAUUAAAAACACAGCACUGUGCAAACACGAAAGUGGACGUAUACGGUGUGACGCCUGCCCGGUGCCGGAAGGUUAAUUGAUGGGGUCAGCGCAAGCGAAGCUCUUGAUCGAAGCCCCGGUAAACGGCGGCCGUAACUAUAACGGUCCUAAGGUAGCGAAAUUCCUUGUCGGGUAAGUUCCGACCUGCACGAAUGGCGUAAUGAUGGCCAGGCUGUCUCCACCCGAGACUCAGUGAAAUUGAACUCGCUGUGAAGAUGCAGUGUACCCGCGGCAAGACGGAAAGACCCCGUGAACCUUUACUAUAGCUUGACACUGAACAUUGAGCCUUGAUGUGUAGGAUAGGUGGGAGGCUUAGAAGUGUGGACGCCAGUCUGCAUGGAGCCGACCUUGAAAUACCACCCUUUAAUGUUUGAUGUUCUAACGUUGACCCGUAAUCCGGGUUGCGGACAGUGUCUGGUGGGUAGUUUGACUGGGGCGGUCUCCUCCUAAAGAGUAACGGAGGAGCACGAAGGUUGGCUAAUCCUGGUCGGACAUCAGGAGGUUAGUGCAAUGGCAUAAGCCAGCUUGACUGCGAGCGUGACGGCGCGAGCAGGUGCGAAAGCAGGUCAUAGUGAUCCGGUGGUUCUGAAUGGAAGGGCCAUCGCUCAACGGAUAAAAGGUACUCCGGGGAUAACAGGCUGAUACCGCCCAAGAGUUCAUAUCGACGGCGGUGUUUGGCACCUCGAUGUCGGCUCAUCACAUCCUGGGGCUGAAGUAGGUCCCAAGGGUAUGGCUGUUCGCCAUUUAAAGUGGUACGCGAGCUGGGUUUAGAACGUCGUGAGACAGUUCGGUCCCUAUCUGCCGUGGGCGCUGGAGAACUGAGGGGGGCUGCUCCUAGUACGAGAGGACCGGAGUGGACGCAUCACUGGUGUUCGGGUUGUCAUGCCAAUGGCACUGCCCGGUAGCUAAAUGCGGAAGAGAUAAGUGCUGAAAGCAUCUAAGCACGAAACUUGCCCCGAGAUGAGUUCUCCCUGACUCCUUGAGAGUCCUGAAGGAACGUUGAAGACGACGACGUUGA
This 2844-nucleotide ribosomal RNA is filed under the name Escherichia coli. RNAcentral describes it as "partial 23S ribosomal RNA". It matches the Rfam family "Bacterial large subunit ribosomal RNA". Lineage: Bacteria; Pseudomonadati; Pseudomonadota; Gammaproteobacteria; Enterobacterales; Enterobacteriaceae. The record is from RNAcentral.